GACGAACGCUGGCGGCGUGCUUAACACAUGCAAGUCGAACGGAAAGGCCCUGCUUUUGUGGGGUGCUCGAGUGGCGAGCGGGUGAGUAACACGUGAGUAACCUGCCCUUGACUUUGGGAUAACUUCAGGAAACUGGGGCUAAUACCGGAUAGGAGCUCCUGCUGCAUGGUGGGGGUUGGAAAGUUUCGGCGGUUGGGGAUGGACUCGCGGCUUAUCAGCUUGUUGGUGGGGUAGUGGCUUACCAAGGCUUUGACGGGUAGCCGGCCUGAGAGGGUGACCGGCCACAUUGGGACUGAGAUACGGCCCAGACUCCUACGGGAGGCAGCAGUGGGGAAUAUUGCACAAUGGGCGGAAGCCUGAUGCAGCAACGCCGCGUGCGGGAUGACGGCCUUCGGGUUGUAAACCGCUUUCGCCUGUGACGAAGCGUGAGUGACGGUAAUGGGUAAAGAAGCACCGGCCAACUACGUG
RNAcentral lists this ribosomal RNA (468 nucleotides) under uncultured bacterium. Its description in RNAcentral is "partial 16S ribosomal RNA". It matches the Rfam family "Bacterial small subunit ribosomal RNA", at positions 28 to 507 of the family's 1533-position model. The record is from RNAcentral.